RNAcentral lists this ribosomal RNA (449 nucleotides) under uncultured bacterium. Its description in RNAcentral is "partial 16S ribosomal RNA". It matches the Rfam family "Bacterial small subunit ribosomal RNA", at positions 29 to 523 of the family's 1533-position model. The record is from RNAcentral.
AACGAACGCUGGCGGCAGGCUUAACACAUGCAAGUCGAACGAGAUCUUCGGAUCUAGUGGCAGACGGGUGAGGAACACGUGGGAACAUCCCUUUCAGUUCGGAAUAACGUUGGGAAACUAACGCUAAUACCGGAUACGUCCUUCGGGAGAAAGAUUUAUCGCUGAAAGAUUGGCCCGCGUCUGAUUAGCUAGUUGGUGAGGUAAUGGCUCACCAAGGCUACGAUCAGUAGCUGAUCUGAGAGGAUGAUCAGCCACAUUGGGACUGAGACACGGCCCAAACUCCUACGGGAGGCAGCAGUGGGGAAUAUUGGACAAUGGGCGCAAGCCUGAUCCAGCCAUGCCGCGUGAGUGAUGACGGCCUUCGGGUUGUAAAGCUCUUUUGUCCGGGAAGAUAAUGACCGUACCGGAAGAAUAAGCCCCGGCAAACUUCGUGUCAGCCGCCGCAGUAA